Molecule: long non-coding RNA, 339 nt
Filed under: Gouania willdenowi (blunt-snouted clingfish)
Lineage: Eukaryota; Metazoa; Chordata; Actinopteri; Blenniiformes; Gobiesocidae
Description: lncRNA (ENSGWIG00000018352.1)
Source: RNAcentral
GAGACUAGAGCUGUGUUAGUGAGCAGGUUGGACGCUCUAACGUCACUCUGCUGUUUUCACACUGUGAGCUGGUGACAGACGCACACAGACGCAGCUGAAAAGGCUCUGAGCUGAUGUGAGGUGAGGAAUCAGUGAGUGUCUGAUGAGCAGCUUCACUCUGAUCACACACUGACUCAACCAUGUGGAUCCACUGCUGUCAAACAUCUGCUGCUGCCACGACAUUAAGUGUAAGCUGGCUGACACGUUACACGCUGUCAGUGAGACACUUCUGAGGAAGGAGAGAGACAUCACAGAAAGUGUCAAACAAAGCUCAUCAUCUCAUGACGUGGAGAUGGAUCA